GGAAGCAGCCAUUCAUUUAAAGAGUGCGUAACAGCUCACUAGUCGAGGAAUUUGGCGUGGAUAAUAAUCGGGUAUCAAGUUGUCUGCCGAAGCUAUGGAAUUGAACAAUCGCCGCAAGGCAAUUGUUUCCAAUUGGUAGGGGAGCAUUCCAUUCGGCGUCGAAGGCGUGGCGCGAGCCACUCUGGAGCGUAUGGAAAAGCAAAUGUAGGUAUAAGUAACGAUAAAGGGGGUGGGAAACCC
This 240-nucleotide ribosomal RNA is filed under the name Bacteroides caecigallinarum. RNAcentral's name for it is "partial 23S ribosomal RNA". It matches the Rfam family "Bacterial large subunit ribosomal RNA", at positions 1108 to 1331 of the family's 2925-position model. The record is from RNAcentral. Lineage: Bacteria; Pseudomonadati; Bacteroidota; Bacteroidia; Bacteroidales; Bacteroidaceae.